GAUGAACGCUGGCGGCGUGCCUAAUACAUGCAAGUCGAGCGAACGGACGAGAAGCUUGCUUUUCUGAUGUUAGCGGCGGACGGGUGAGUAACACGUGGAUAACCUACCUAUAAGACUGGGAUAACUUCGGGAAACCGGAGCUAAUACCGGAUAAUAUUUUGAACCGCAUGGUUCAAAAGUGAAAGACGGUCUUGCUGUCACUUAUAGAUGGAUCCGCGCUGCAUUAGCUAGUUGGUAAGGUAACGGCUUACCAAGGCAACGAUGCAUAGCCGACCUGAGAGGGUGAUCGGCCACACUGGAACUGAGACACGGUCCAGACUCCUACGGGAGGCAGCAGUAGGGAAUCUUCCGCAAGGGGCGAAAGCCUGACGGAGCAACGCCGCGUGAGUGAUGAAGGUCUUCGGAUCGUAAAACUCUGUUAUUGGGGAAGAACAUAUGUGUAAGUAACUGUGCACAUCUUGACGGUACCUAAUCAGAAAGCCACGGCUAACUACGUG
This 497-nucleotide ribosomal RNA is filed under the name uncultured bacterium. RNAcentral describes it as "partial 16S ribosomal RNA". It matches the Rfam family "Bacterial small subunit ribosomal RNA", at positions 28 to 507 of the family's 1533-position model. The record is from RNAcentral.